This 492-nucleotide ribosomal RNA is filed under the name uncultured bacterium. Its description in RNAcentral is "partial 16S ribosomal RNA". It matches the Rfam family "Bacterial small subunit ribosomal RNA", at positions 29 to 507 of the family's 1533-position model. The record is from RNAcentral.
AGUGAACGCUGGCGGUAGGCCUAACACAUGCAAGUCGAACGGCAGCACAGUAAGAGCUUGCUCUUACGGGUGGCGAGUGGCGGACGGGUGAGGAAUACAUCGGAAUCUACUUUUUCGUGGGGGAUAACGUAGGGAAACUUACGCUAAUACCGCAUACGACCUACGGGUGAAAGCAGGGGAUCUUCGGACCUUGCGCGAUUGAAUGAGCCGAUGUCGGAUUAGCUAGUUGGCGGGGUAAAGGCCCACCAAGGCGACGAUCCGUAGCUGGUCUGAGAGGAUGAUAGGCCACACUGGAACUGAGACACGGUCCAGACUCCUACGGGAGGCAGCAGUGGGGAAUAUUGGACAAUGGGCGCAAGCCUGAUCCAGCCAUACCGCGUGGGUGAAGAAGGCCUUCGGGUUGUAAAGCCCUUUUGUUGGGAAAGAAAAGCAGCAGGUUAAGACCCCGCUGUUCUGACGGUACCCAAAGAAUAAGCACCGGCUAACUUCGUG